GCGACGCCGCGUGAGUGAUGAAGGCCUUCGGGUUGUAAAGCUCUGUGGGGAGAGACGAAUAAGUGCCGGCUAAUACCUUGCAUGAUGACGGUAUCUCCUUAGCAAGCACCGGCUAACUCUGUGCCAGCAGCCGCGGUAAGACAGAAGGUGCAAACGUUGUUCGGAAUUACUGGGCGUAAAGCGAGUGUAGGCGGUUUCGUAAGUCGGAUGUGAAAACCCCGGGCUCAACCCGGGAAGUGCACUCGAUACUGCGAAGCUUGAGUACUGGAGAGGUGGGUGGAAUUCUCGGUGUAUAGGUGAAAUUCCUAAAUGUCAAGAGGAACACCGGCGGCUAAAGCGGCCCUCUGGACCGAUACUGACGCUAACACUCGAAAGCGUGGGGAGCGAACAGGAUUACAUACCCUGGUAGUCCACGCCUUAGACGAUGGGUGCUAGGUGUCCCGGGCUUUGACUCCUGCGGUGCCGUACCUCACGCAUUAAACACCCCGCCGGGUAAGUACCGCCGCAAGGCUAAGACUCCCAGGAAUUGACGGGAGCCCGCACAAGCGGUGGAGCAUGCGGUUUAAUUCUACGCAACGC
RNAcentral lists this ribosomal RNA (579 nucleotides) under Myxococcales bacterium So2Ps_1662. RNAcentral's name for it is "bacterial SSU rRNA". It matches the Rfam family "Bacterial small subunit ribosomal RNA", at positions 391 to 962 of the family's 1533-position model. Lineage: Bacteria; Pseudomonadati; Myxococcota; Myxococcia; Myxococcales. The record is from RNAcentral.